CAGUGAAUUUUUGGAACAACAUCCUAACAUGUCACAAUAGAGAGAAUUGUCAGCCAGCCAAGAUGCUGAACCAAUCAGAGCAGGAUACAAAUAUAUUUCUCCCUAUGCAAGAUAGAUUUCUUACUCAAACUGAAGGAGAGAUUCACAGCACUAAAGUUGACUCUUUUCCCCAUAGGUUAGCUGUGAAUCUGCAAGUAGCUGAGCUUGAAAAGGGGUUUCAGGCACCAUCCUGUAUUUGUGAGUGCUGGAAAUGGCAGAGAUGUGUAGAGCACCCCUGAUCACCAGAGAAUGUGUAAAGCAACAGAAUUCCCCUGGUCUCCUCACCUGCAAAGCACAGUUAUAGGAAAUGUAGAUACAAGAGUUCCCCAGAGUCAUAAAUAUUACAAGGAAUCGAGCCCUUGACUGAGUUGACUUCAAUAUCUAUGAAACAGCCACAAUAAUAUGUUUCAGCAAUUUCUUCAUACUGAGAAUUUGAGUCAACUACUUUUCAUCAGGUGGGAUGACAAGGCUUUGAUACUUAGGUCAGAUGGGAAAUUCUCAGAGUCUCAGUGACAAAAUAUGAGCACAAGGUAAAAUAAGCAAAGAACAAGAGGCAGAACUGAUUCCACAAUUCUGGGAUGGUCUGUGGAAGUUCAAGAACACCCAGAGCUGGGCAGUGUCAGAGUUUAAAGGGUAACUGUCCUCUAAAAAGAGAAGAAAAAAAUACUAUACUGAAAAUAAAUCAAUGUUGGUAGAUUACAUUACAACUGAAUCCUCAGUUUCUACAGGUGAUUCUUCAAGUUGUUUCAGGGGUGGCAGAGGUGCUCUUUAUCUCCAUCUAUACAGAAAAUACACCUGUCAGCUGCAUUAAUUUUGUUCCUCAAGGUCACAAUUAAUUACCAGCUUAUAACUGCAAUGAGCCUUUAAUACUAGCUGCACUAGCAAACACUAAAAUGGUGUGAGGAGAGGGGAACACAAAGACAUCCUCAAGCACAGAAACAGCUUUUAAUAAAAAACCCCAUCACUCCAAGAUUCCAGAAAUGCUGGAAACUACACAGGAAAGAGAAGAAAAUUCCUAAGUGGCAUGAGAUAAUUUCAGAUUUUCAGACUAUCAAGAAGGAAUUACCAUAUUUAAGUGAAUAAAGGGAUGUCUGCAUUAUGACCUGCUCUUCACCUGCUGACAUGGUAAUAAAACAUCAAGAAAUUUAACAUCAAGAAAUAAAACACUGAGAAAUAAAACAUUAACCCCAUUAAGAAGCACUAAGUAAUCCAAUGAGUGAGUGUGAAGAGCAAAUUACCUCAGUGCCACAAUUAUGCAUUAAGGAAAAUUCUCAGGGUGCUACAUUUGUUGAACUUGGCCACAACAUAUUUAAUACAAUAUGGCAAAGGUAAUAUAAUACUUAAAUAUAGGGGAAAUGGGAAAAAUGAUAGAAAAAAAAAUCCCUGUCCAAGUCUGCUUCCCUGAACAGCUUCUUUUAGAUGUUCCAUGCUUGGAAGUUGUAACAUUUAGUAUGAGAAAGUGCUUGUCUAAAGGUAGCUGAUGCCACAGGAGGUUCCUUAUCUUGCUUUUUGUGCUCUGUGUUAGAAAUGAGCCUUGUGUUCAUUCCUGCCACACUGGACUGAUGCUCUUUGUGUUGAAAUAAAGUCAGGUUUGCUGGAAAAGCUCUGCUCAGUCAUGUCCUACAGUAUUCCCUGAGCUCACAGGUACAUUUUCCUUGUCCACCCUGAAUCUUCUUCCAUUUUACAGAUUCCACCUCUUAGAAUUUCAAGAGCCACAAGCUAGGCAUUGGCAGAUUGUUUAAAUUUAUUGUUUAGUUUUUGCUUGUAAAUAGGACCUUCUUGUUUAACUAGAAGAAAACCAUGAACUUUUAAUGGUGCCAGAUCUUAUCAAGAGUCUGUAGACUUCUCACUGGGGAUUUUUGUUUAAACAAAAGUUAGACAGUAUUUCUAAAGAUUAUUUUCUGGCUUAUGAUGAAUGUCCCAAGUUUUGUUUUGGUUUCUUUAACUGAAGUGUCUUCCAAGCUCAAUCAAAACACUGAAACUUAACAGAGGAAGUUCACUCUUCAUUUCUAAGAUAGCUUGGACUGAUUUCUGCAAGCCACUGCACUUUAUUGAAAAUAAAAUGGAAAUUUUUUUUCCAUUUUCUACCAUAAUUGACCUCUCUUGUACUGAUUUAAGAAAAGCAUCUUAAGUUGAUACAGAUAAAAUGUUAUGACUAGCAAA
Molecule: long non-coding RNA, 2202 nt
Organism: Passer domesticus (house sparrow)
Lineage: Eukaryota; Metazoa; Chordata; Aves; Passeriformes; Passeridae
Exons: 8
Source: RefSeq, a predicted model, not a curated record